CCCCCCUUCCUACCAAGGAAAAAAAAAAAGGCGCUAUUUAUGCUUUGUGACAGGAAUGAAACUAUCGCCUCCUUUUUUCAUCCAUAUUGUAGAACGAGUUCUCUUCACGUGAUCUACAAAGAGCUGAUGCCUUUCAUAUUCCAGCUUCUGAGUAACAAUCCCAUUUAGUAGCAGCUCUGAACUGUAAAUAGCUGCCCCUUUUUCGAGGAAAGGUACACAAACUUCAUAAUCCUCUUCACAGGAUAAAACCAACAGAUCUUCUAGGACAACAUCAUCCUUAAGAGUAGAUCUGCCAACUCUCUCCACCGCCUGACCACAAACUGCUUUAACCAAGCCUGAAACAAUUUCUUUACUUGGCUUUAUGCUGGUAGUGAUCAAAACUCUUCGACCCUGCAGAAGUGGAU
Molecule: unclassified non-coding RNA, 404 nt
Filed under: Hevea brasiliensis (rubber tree)
Lineage: Eukaryota; Viridiplantae; Streptophyta; Magnoliopsida; Malpighiales; Euphorbiaceae
Source: RNAcentral